Molecule: transfer RNA, 71 nt
Filed under: Stegodyphus mimosarum
Lineage: Eukaryota; Metazoa; Arthropoda; Arachnida; Araneae; Eresidae
Rfam family: tRNA
About the family: Transfer RNA (tRNA) molecules are approximately 80 nucleotides in length.
Source: Rfam by way of RNAcentral
GCUGUCGUGGUGUAACGGUAGCACAUUCGGCGCGUAUUCGAGAGGUUCAGGUUCAAAUCCCGGCAAUGGCA